CACGGCCCAGACUCCUACGGGAGGCAGCAGUAGGGAAUCUUCCGCAAUGGACGAAAGUCUGACGGAGCAACGCCGCGUGAGUGAUGAAGGUUUUCGGAUCGUAAAGCUCUGUUGUUAGGGAAGAACAAGUACCGUUCGAAUAGGGCGGUACCUUGACGGUACCUAACCAGAAAGCCACGGCUAACUACGUGCCAGCAGCCGCGGUAAUACGUAGGUGGCAAGCGUUGUCCGGAAUUAUUGGGCGUAAAGGGCUCGCAGGCGGUUUCUUAAGUCUGAUGUGAAAGCCCCCGGCUCAACCGGGGAGGGUCAUUGGAAACUGGGGAACUUGAGUGCAGAAGAGGAGAGUGGAAUUCCACGUGUAGCGGUGAAAUGCGUAGAGAUGUGGAGGAACACCAGUGGCGAAGGCGACUCUCUGGUCUGUAACUGACGCUGAGGAGCGAAAGCGUGGGGAGCGAACAGGAUUAGAUACCCUGGUAGUCCACGCCGUAAACGAUGAGUGCUAAGUGUUAGGGGGUUUCCGCCCCUUAGUGCUGCAGCUAACGCAUUAAGCACUCCGCCUGGGGAGUACGGUCGCAAGACUGAAACUCAAGGAAUUGACGGGGGCCCGCACAAGCGGUGGAGCAUGUGGUUUAUUUCGAAGCACGCGAAGAACCUUACCAGGUCUGACAUCCUCUGACAUCCUAAGAGAUAGGACGUCCCCUUCGGGGCAGAGUGACAGGUGGUGCAUGUUGUCGUCAGCUCGUGUCUUGAAGAAUGUGGGU
This 761-nucleotide ribosomal RNA is filed under the name Bacillus subtilis. RNAcentral describes it as "bacterial SSU rRNA". It matches the Rfam family "Bacterial small subunit ribosomal RNA", at positions 325 to 1080 of the family's 1533-position model. Lineage: Bacteria; Bacillati; Bacillota; Bacilli; Caryophanales; Bacillaceae. The record is from RNAcentral.